This 253-nucleotide ribosomal RNA is filed under the name uncultured bacterium. Its description in RNAcentral is "partial 16S ribosomal RNA". It matches the Rfam family "Bacterial small subunit ribosomal RNA", at positions 524 to 776 of the family's 1533-position model. The record is from RNAcentral.
UACGUAGGGAGCAAGCGUUGUCCGGAAUCAUUGGGCGUAAAGCGCGCGUAGGUGGCUUCGUAAGUCCGUUGUGAAAGUCAAAGGCUCAACCUUUGAAAGCCGAUGGAUACUGCGGAGCUAGAGUACGGAAGAGGCGAGUGGAAUUCCUGGUGUAGCGGUGGAAUGCGCAGAUAUCAGGAGGAACACCGGUGGCGAAGGCGGCGACCUGGGUCGAUACUGACGCUGAGGUGCGAAAGCGUGGGGAGCAAACAGG